Long non-coding RNA from Lycium barbarum (goji berry), 1202 nucleotides. RefSeq lists it as uncharacterized. The record is from RefSeq and is a predicted model, not a curated record. NCBI's taxonomy places the organism in Eukaryota, Viridiplantae, Streptophyta, Magnoliopsida, Solanales, Solanaceae. The transcript has 3 exons.
GUGGCAUCAUGUAUUGCAUGAGACAAGGACUUUUAAUCCCCGAUAUUAAAAUGGCACGACUUGCUUGCAAAUUUCUAUUGGUGUAGAAAUAUUAAUGGAGAUUAGGGAUUAAUUAACCAUGAUUAGAUUAUUAAGUGGGGAUUAGUGAUUAAAUUAAUGGAUAUAAUUUAAAGGGCUGCAAGCACUACAAGUACACAUGCACGUUGUGCCUUGAACAUUUGAUGAAUACGAAAAAAAAAAAAUUAGGCCAGCCAAGGUAUACGUGUAAAAGGGCAAGGGACCCUUAUGUGGCAAAUGGAGGGGCUGCCUAUAAAUAAUACCUAUUGACUCAUGGAUCAGAUUUUUCCAUUCAUAAAAUUAGUGAAGGAGGAAGAGACCUAUAAACUAGAGAGAGGAGCUCCUAGCCAUGGCAACUCACGGCCAUGGCUAUGGCAGCAACCCUUUGAACGACCAGCCCACUCCAACACAAACAAACCACUAAUUUCAUCUUGACUAGGAGAGGAAAAUCGUGAACAACCAUGACAGCCCCCUUGGGCACUCACGGCCAACUCCAAAAAUGAAAGAGGAAGAGAAUUUGAAUUUCACAAAAGUGUUCUAAGUGUUUUACACGUUCAAAGGAGGCAGCAACAUAGGGAUUUAAGUUGAAGAAGAUGAAGUGGUGCGAAUUGUGCAAACUAUUGUAGGAUCUGUCCUAAUUAAAGUUGAGGCUAAAAGAGCGACGAAGCGAAAAGGAUUCACGAUUAGUCGCUGACAGGUACAGAUACUCGCUUUGGUGAUCCGCCAGCUUAGGAUUCCCUUUCUGCUGUCUUGGAGACCUCCGUUGUUCCGGAGCCUAGAUUUUGGUACCGACUUCCUGAUAUGCAUAUAUAUAUGUUUUUGUCUAUGGGUACGACGGGGCACUGUACCGUCAUAUGUUACUGUUGAUACUCUUAGAGGUCUGUAGACAUGUAUGUGAGUUGUGUGUAGAUGUGGUUAGGUGUGCCUAUAUGGUCAUUAUGGAUGUUCUAGCGCUGUAGCAGCCUUGCCGGCUUGCAUAUAUUAUCGUUCUGUUGUAGCAGCGUUGUCGGCUUGCGUAUUAUUUCAUGAUAUGAUCAGUUGUGACUCCUCAGGAGACAGUGUAUCUGAAUAUACAUAUAUGAUGACGCUAUAAACCUUCAGAGUUCUUUUGUAAAGUCCCAUAUUGUUCGUAGUUUCAGUUUGAC